Molecule: long non-coding RNA, 327 nt
Filed under: Olea europaea (common olive)
Lineage: Eukaryota; Viridiplantae; Streptophyta; Magnoliopsida; Lamiales; Oleaceae
Description: long non-coding RNA (OEUR_LNC007261)
Source: RNAcentral
UAUUUUGUUCUGCACAGGUGCUAAAGUUGAUGCUUGUUGAGAAUGCUGGGAAGCUGUCUUCUAUAGAAGGACAUUUAAAUUGUGUUUUACAUUUAUUAGGCUUCUUGUAUAAUCACUGGCAUCAAGGUGGAGAUCUGUUGGGCUGUGAUGCCAUUUGAUCCAGUCCAACUGUUAGGCAAUGAUGAAAAGGCCCAAAUUGGAUUUAUUACUUGGUCCAUUAAAUAUAUACCUAGAAGGCCCACUUAACCGAGCCCAAUAUUCAGCCCACACCAUUAGUCGCUCUUGGACCGUUGGAUUGACCCGCUAAUCAACGGUUGAUGAUACUUA